GGGGAGGAAUGGAGGUUGGAUUAUAAGAAGGGGAAGUUGUGGCAGAAGAAGGAGGAGGAGAGGAACACACAGGUAUAAACAAGUCUGUAUCAGAGAAGGAAGGCUCAAGAGGAGGAACAGAGGGAAAGGAAGAAGGAGCAGGAGGAGCAGGAGAUGAAACAGUUUUAAAAUGAAAGUAGGUUUCAUGAAAUAUAACAUCCCUGGAGACAAAGUAUUUUUUGGAAGUAAGAUCAUAAAGCUUAUUACCCUUUUUGGCAAAAGGAUACCCAAUGAAUACACAGGAAAUGGCUCUAGGUUUCAACUUGUCCCUUUAAGGAAUUGGAACAGUAGCAUAGGCAAGGCACCCAAAUGCUCUCAAAUGAGAGUAGGUUGGUGCCUUUCCAUGCAAAACUUCAUAGGGAGAUUUAUGAUGAAGAAGUCUGGAUGGUAUUCUGUUAAGGAGAGCAUAGGCAAGGCACCCAAACUCUCUCAAAUGAGAGUAGGUUGGUGCCUUUCUAUGCAAAACUUCAUAGGGAGAUUUAUGAUGAAGAAGUCUGGAUGGUAGUCUAUUAAGGAGAUAGGUAGCAGUUAGUAAACGGUCCUCCCAGAAAGAGAUGGGUAAGCCAGAUUGAAAGAGUAAAGCUCUACAUGGCUCAAGAAGAGUCCUAUGUUUCCUUUCAACAACACC
This 667-nucleotide long non-coding RNA is filed under the name Nicotiana benthamiana. RNAcentral describes it as "long non-coding RNA (NBEN_LNC012460)". Lineage: Eukaryota; Viridiplantae; Streptophyta; Magnoliopsida; Solanales; Solanaceae. The record is from RNAcentral.